UACGUAGUGUCCGAGCGUUGUCCGGAGUUACUGGGCGUAAAGCGCGCGCAGGCGGCGGUGCUGGCCCGGCGUGAAAGCCCCCGGCUCAACCGGGGAGGGUCGUCGGGGACCGCACCGCUUGAGGGCGGUAGGGGCUGGUGGAAUGCCUGGUGUAGUGGUGAAAUGCGUAGAGAUCAGGCGGAACACCCGUGGCGAAGGCGGCCAGCUGGGCCGUCCCUGACGCUGAGGCGCGAAGGCGUGGGGAGCGAACGGG
RNAcentral lists this ribosomal RNA (253 nucleotides) under uncultured bacterium. RNAcentral's name for it is "partial 16S ribosomal RNA". It matches the Rfam family "Bacterial small subunit ribosomal RNA", at positions 524 to 776 of the family's 1533-position model. The record is from RNAcentral.